AUGAACGCCAAAAGGGCAUGCUGGGAGUGAUAGUUUUGGAGUAGCUAGACAGCCCUAGAACUGGUGACAGGAUGUAGACCUGCGUUUCCCAGCAUGUCCGGGUGGGAGUUGUAGUUUUACAACAGCUGGAGGUACACUGGACAAUGCACGGAUGACAUAGUUGAAAGCCAGGAAGAGCAUUUAAGGCUAUCUAAAGGCCCGCGUUCCAGCUGCCACGUGCCAUUAUAAUGCCAGCUUCCGAAGCGUCGUGGGUCUACAAAGCAUAGAACUUUCCGCGGCUUAUCCAAAGAGUAAAAUCGCAGGUGAGCGUGUUUAGGGAUCUCAUCCUCU
Molecule: long non-coding RNA, 330 nt
Organism: Hyla sarda
Lineage: Eukaryota; Metazoa; Chordata; Amphibia; Anura; Hylidae
Exons: 3
Source: RefSeq, a predicted model, not a curated record